This 507-nucleotide non-coding RNA is filed under the name Hydrogenovibrio marinus. RNAcentral's name for it is "Bacterial small subunit ribosomal RNA". It matches the Rfam family "Bacterial small subunit ribosomal RNA", at positions 1025 to 1533 of the family's 1533-position model. The record is from Rfam by way of RNAcentral. Lineage: Bacteria; Pseudomonadati; Pseudomonadota; Gammaproteobacteria; Thiotrichales; Piscirickettsiaceae.
AACGCAGUGACAGGUGCUGCAUGGCUGUCGUCAGCUCGUGUCGUGAGAUGUUGGGUUAAGUCCCGCAACGAGCGCAACCCUUAUCUUUAGUUGCUACCAUUUAGUUGAGAACUCUAAAGAGACUGCCGGUGAUAAACCGGAGGAAGGCGGGGACGACGUCAAGUCAUCAUGGCCCUUAUGGGAUGGGCUACACACGUGCUACAAUGGGGGGUACAAAGAGCAGCUAGCUGGCGACAGUGCGCGAAUCUCAUAAAACCCUUCGUAGUCCGGAUUGGAGUCUGCAACUCGACUCCAUGAAGUCGGAAUCGCUAGUAAUCGUGAAUCAGAAUGUCACGGUGAAUACGUUCCCGGGCCUUGUACACACCGCCCGUCACACCAUGGGAGUGGGUUGCAAAAGAAGUAGGUAGUCUAACCUUCGGGAGGGCGCUUACCACUUUGUGAUUCAUGACUGGGGUGAAGUCGUAACAAGGUAGCCGUAGGGGAACCUGCGGCUGGAUCACCUCCUUU